This 400-nucleotide ribosomal RNA is filed under the name phytoplankton environmental sample. RNAcentral's name for it is "partial small subunit ribosomal RNA". It matches the Rfam family "Eukaryotic small subunit ribosomal RNA", at positions 587 to 976 of the family's 1831-position model. The record is from RNAcentral.
AGCUCCAAUAGCGUAUAUUAAAGUUGUUGCGGUUAAAAAGCUCGUAGUUGGAUUUCAGUUCUGGAUUGACGGUUCACUGCCCGGUGAUCACUGUCACGCUCCGAACACUUUGACAAUCCGCUGGCUCGCACGGGGUGCUCUUUACCGAGUGUCCCGCGUGGCCGGCAGAGUUUACUUUGAAGAAAUUAGAGUUCUCAAAGCAGGCUAUAUUGAUGGCCUGAAUACCUAUGCAUGGAAUAAUGGAAUAGGACCUCGGUUCCAUUUUGUCGGUUUUCUGAACCCGAGGUCAUGACUAAUAGGAACAGGCGGGGACAUUCGUAUUGCGACGCUAGAGGUGAAAUUCUUGAACCGUCACAAGACGAACUACUGCGAAAGCAUUUGCCAAGGAUGUUUUUAUUAA